UACCAUGCAAGUCGUACGAUGAAAGCCCAGCUUGCUGGGUGGAUUAGUGGCGAACGGGUGAGUAACACGUGAGUAACCUGCCCUUAACUCUGGGAUAAGCCUGGGAAACUGGGUCUAAUACCGGAUAGGAGCGUCCACCGCAUGGUGGGUGUUGGAAAGAUUUAUCGGUUUUGGAUGGACUCGCGGCCUAUCAGCUUGUUGGUGAGGUAAUGGCUCACCAAGGCGACGACGGGUAGCCGGCCUGAGAGGGUGACCGGCCACACUGGGACUGAGACACGGCCCAGACUCCUACGGGAGGCAGCAGUGGGGAAUAUUGCACAAUGGGCGAAAGCCUGAUGCAGCGACGCCGCGUGAGGGAUGACGGCCUUCGGGUUGUAAACCUCUUUCAGUAGGGAAGAAGCGAAAGUGACGGUACCUGCAGAAGAAGCACCGGCUAACUACGUGCCAGCAGCCGCGGUAAUACGUAGGGUGCGAGCGUUAUCCGGAAUUAUUGGGCGUAAAGAGCUCGUAGGCGGUUUGUCGCGUCUGUCGUGAAAGUCCGGGGCUUAACCCCGGAUCUGCGGUGGGUACGGGCAGACUAGAGUGCAGUAGGGGAGACUGGAAUUCCUGGUGUAGCGGUGGAAUGCGCAGAUAUCAGGAGGAACACCGAUGGCGAAGGCAGGUCUCUGGGCUGUAACUGACGCUGAGGAGCGAAAGCAUGGGGAGCGAACAGGAUUAGAUACCCUGGUAGUCCAUGCCGUAAACGUUGGGCACUAGGUGUGGGGACCAUUCCACGGUUUCCGCGCCGCAGCUAACGCAUUAAGUGCCCCGCCUGGGGAGUACGGCCGCAAGGCUAAAACUCAAAGGAAUUGACGGGGGCCCGCACAAGCGGCGGAGCAUGCGGAUUAAUUCGAUGCAACGCGAAGAACCUUACCAAGGCUUGACAUGUUCUCGAUCGCCGUAGAGAUACGGUUUCCCCUUUGGGGCGGGUUCACAGGUGGUGCAUGGUUGUCGUCAGCUCGUGUCGUGAGAUGUGGGUUAAGUCCCGCAACG
This is a ribosomal RNA of 1032 nucleotides. It matches the Rfam family "Bacterial small subunit ribosomal RNA", at positions 52 to 1094 of the family's 1533-position model.